CCUACGGGAGGCAGCAGUGAGGAAUAUUGGUCAAUGGACGAGAGUCUGAACCAGCCAAGUAGCGUGAAGGAUGACUGCCCUAUGGGUUGUAAACUUCUUUUAUAUGGGAAUAAAACGUUGUACGCGUAGGAUUUUGUAUGUACCAUAUGAAUAAGGAUCGGCUAACUCCGUGCCAGCAGCCGCGGUAAUACGGAGGAUCCGAGCGUUAUCCGGAUUUAUUGGGUUUAAAGGGAGCGUAGAUGGAUUGUUAAGUCAGUUGUGAAAGUUUGCGGCUCAACCGUAAAAUUGCAAUUGAUACUGGCAGUCUUGAGUACAGUAGAGGUAGGCGGAAUUCGUGGUGUAGCGGUGAAAUGCUUAGAUAUCACGAAGAACUCCGAUUGCGAAGGCAGCUCACUAAACUGCAACUGACAUUGAUGCUCGAAAGUGUGGGUAUCAAACAGGAUUAGAUACCCUUGUAGUC
RNAcentral lists this ribosomal RNA (460 nucleotides) under uncultured bacterium. Its description in RNAcentral is "partial 16S ribosomal RNA". It matches the Rfam family "Bacterial small subunit ribosomal RNA", at positions 338 to 795 of the family's 1533-position model. The record is from RNAcentral.